This 433-nucleotide ribosomal RNA is filed under the name uncultured bacterium. RNAcentral's name for it is "partial 16S ribosomal RNA". It matches the Rfam family "Bacterial small subunit ribosomal RNA", at positions 29 to 507 of the family's 1533-position model. The record is from RNAcentral.
AGCGAACGCUGGCGGCAGGCCUAACACAUGCAAGUCGAACGAACUCUUCGGAGUUAGUGGCGGACGGGUGAGUAACACGUGGGAACGUGCCUUUUGGUUCGGAAUAACUCAGGGAAACUUGUGCUAAUACCGAAUGUGCCCUUCGGGGGAAAGAUUUAUCGCCAUUGGAGCGGCCCGCGUCUGAUUAGCUAGUUGGUGAGGUAACGGCUCACCAAGGCGACGAUUAGUAGCUGGUCUGAGAGGAUGACCAGCCACACUGGGACUGAGACACGGCCCAGACUCCUACGGGAGGCAGCAGUGGGGAAUCUUGCGCAAUGGGCGAAAGUCUGACGCAGCCAUGCCGCGUGAAUGAUGAAGGUCCUAGGAUUGUAAAAUUCUUUCACCGGGGACGAUAAUGACGGUACCCGGAGAAGAAGCCCCGGCUAACUUCGUG